This 72-nucleotide transfer RNA is filed under the name Camelus ferus (Wild Bactrian camel). It matches the Rfam family "tRNA". From Rfam's summary of the family: Transfer RNA (tRNA) molecules are approximately 80 nucleotides in length. Their secondary structure includes four short double-helical elements and three loops (D, anti-codon, and T loops). Lineage: Eukaryota; Metazoa; Chordata; Mammalia; Artiodactyla; Camelidae. The record is from Rfam by way of RNAcentral.
GGAGGUAUAGCUCAGUGGUAGAGCACAUGCCUAGCAUGCACAAGGUCCUGGGUUCAAUCCCCAGUACCCCCA